GCUAAGAAGUAAGUCGUACAGGUUCCGUAGGUGAACCUGCGGAAGGAUCAUUAUUGAAAU
This 60-nucleotide ribosomal RNA is filed under the name Cortinarius brunneus ectomycorrhiza V30. RNAcentral's name for it is "partial 18S ribosomal RNA". The record is from RNAcentral. Lineage: Eukaryota; Fungi; Basidiomycota; Agaricomycetes; Agaricales; Cortinariaceae.